CUGCCCCCUGGAAGGGGACAAGACAGGGGAGCCUCUCUCGGGGCCACCCACUCAAGAGGCAUCGUUGUCCCCUCUUCCCCUGCGUCCUCAAUUCAAUGGAAGAGAACUUGAAGCCCCUGGGUGCGGCUGGUGUGUGUUACCAAGUGUAAUCCCGAGGGGAAUUCUUCCAUGCCCGCCGUCUCAUCCUCCGCCAUCAGCUGGUUACUGCCGGGACGGCCCGAGUGGGCGGCGACGGGCUCCAUCAGUUUACUGGAUUCCAACUGAGAAAUGUCGCUCAAACAUGGGGAGGUUGGUGAUCUCCCGAUUCACUGACUGCAGGUUGCAGACAUUUGCAGUGGCUGUCAACCAGGAAUCAGCCCAACAGAAAUGCUUGCGCAGCGAUAUGCGUGACGGUGUUUAUGACCACACUGUAAUAGCAACAACGGCCAAAAAAGGAGACUACAUGAAGGUGAUUAAUAGAGGAAUGCCAUUAUUUCUGCAUGUUUGUGUAAUGAAAUACUACUCAGGCAUUAAGAAGAAUGAGUAAUCUUUUGAUGUUCUAACUACCUGGUCUUUGCUGCAAAAACUCCUACAUAUCCUGGCUCCCCCCUCACCUCUUCGGAGCUGUCGCUCAGCGUGGUCUGAGAUGCGGUGUCCCAGGCUUGAAGUAUGCAGCAU
Long non-coding RNA from Orcinus orca (killer whale), 657 nucleotides. RefSeq lists it as uncharacterized. The record is from RefSeq and is a predicted model, not a curated record. NCBI's taxonomy places the organism in Eukaryota, Metazoa, Chordata, Mammalia, Artiodactyla, Delphinidae. The transcript has 3 exons.